This 428-nucleotide ribosomal RNA is filed under the name uncultured Verrucomicrobiota bacterium. RNAcentral's name for it is "bacterial SSU rRNA". It matches the Rfam family "Bacterial small subunit ribosomal RNA", at positions 355 to 776 of the family's 1533-position model. Lineage: Bacteria; Pseudomonadati; Verrucomicrobiota. The record is from RNAcentral.
UCGAGAAUUUUUCACAAUGGGCGAAAGCCUGAUGGAGCGACGCCGCGUGGGGGAUGAAUGGCUUCGGCCCGUAAACCCCUGUCAUUUGCGAUCAAACCCUGUAAUCUAAUAGGUUGCAGGCUGAUAGUAGCGAAAGAGGAAGGGACGGCUAACUCUGUGCCAGCAGCCGCGGUAAUACAGAGGUCCCAAGCGUUGUUCGGAUUCACUGGGCGUAAAGGGUGCGUAGGCGGUUGAAUAAGUCUGACGUGAAAUCCUGGAGCUCAACUCCGGAACGGCGUCGGAAACUGUUCAGCUUGAGGAUUGGAGAGGGGACUGGAAUUCUCGGUGUAGCAGUGAAAUGCGUAGAUAUCGAGAGGAACACCAGUGGCGAAGGCGAGUCCCUGGACAAUACCUGACGCUGAGGCACGAAAGCUAGGGGAGCAAACAGG